RNAcentral lists this ribosomal RNA (428 nucleotides) under uncultured bacterium. RNAcentral describes it as "partial 16S ribosomal RNA". It matches the Rfam family "Bacterial small subunit ribosomal RNA", at positions 354 to 796 of the family's 1533-position model. The record is from RNAcentral.
GUGGGGAAUAUUGGGCAAUGGGCGCAAGCCUGACCCAGCAACGCCGCGUGAGGGAAGAAGGCUUUCGGGUUGUAAACCUCUGUCCUUGGUGACGAAACAAAUGACGGUAGCCAAGGAGGAAGCCCCGGCUAACUACGUGCCAGCAGCCGCGGUAAUACGUAGGGGGCGAGCGUUGUCCGGAAUUACUGGGCGUAAAGGGUGCGUAGGUGGCCUUUUAAGUUGGAUGUGAAAUACCCGGGCUUAACUUGGGGGGUGCAUCCAAAACUGGGAGGCUAGAGUGCAGGAGAGGAAAGCGGAAUUCCUAGUGUAGCGGUGAAAUGCGUAGAUAUUAGGAGGAACACCAGUGGCGAAGGCGGCUUUCUGGACUGUAACUGACACUGAGGCACGAAAGCGUGGGGAGCAAACAGGAUUAGAUACCCUGGUAGUCC